Molecule: ribosomal RNA, 449 nt
Filed under: uncultured bacterium
Lineage: Bacteria
Description: bacterial SSU rRNA
Rfam family: Bacterial small subunit ribosomal RNA
Source: RNAcentral
CCCAGACUCCUACGGGAGGCAGCAGUGGGGAAUAUUGGGCAAUGGGCGCAAGCCUGACCCAGCAACGCCGCGUGAAGGAAGAAGGCUUUCGGGUUGUAAACUUCUUUUAAGAGGGAAGAGCAGAAGACGGUACCUCUUGAAUAAGCCACGGCUAACUACGUGCCAGCAGCCGCGGUAAUACGUAGGUGGCAAGCGUUGUCCGGAUUUACUGGGUGUAAAGGGCGUGCAGCCGGGAGUGCAAGUCAGAUGUGAAAUCCCGCGGCUCAACCGCGGAACUGCAUUUGAAACUGUGCUUCUUGAGUGCUGGAGAGGCAGACGGAAUUCCUAGUGUAGCGGUGAAAUGCGUAGAUAUUAGGAGGAACACCAGUGGCGAAGGCGGCCUACUGGACGGUGACUGACGCUGAGGCUCGAAAGCGUGGGGAGCAAACAGGAUUAGAUACCCGAGUAUG